Long non-coding RNA from Triticum aestivum (bread wheat), 812 nucleotides. RefSeq lists it as uncharacterized. NCBI's taxonomy places the organism in Eukaryota, Viridiplantae, Streptophyta, Magnoliopsida, Poales, Poaceae. The record is from RefSeq and is a predicted model, not a curated record. The transcript is spliced from 2 exons.
AUGUACUUCUAUAGCUUGUUAAUUCCUUCUCGGCUUGUUUUAUUUUAUAUGCGUGUGUAUGGACAAACUAAUGUGUCUUUGUGUUGGUCGUUCCUUCCUUGCCGAUAUGGCAAUUAUUUUAGAUGCUGGCCAGUUAAGGUUUGUUGCAAAUAAUAGUGGAUGUUGGGCAGCCUCCACACCGCAAGAGAUGGAGAUGGUUGACAUCGGAACCGGUGGUUGAGGUCGAGUACGCCUCGUUGUCGUCGCCGUCUACAUCCGUUACGGUGCGGCUGCAGUGGCUUUUCCUCUUCCUAUUGCUUUUAUUCUCUCCUGUUAUCCCUUGGUGUUCAUAAUCUCAGGACGACACUUGAUUUCAGUGUGAGGAACUUGCUGUUUCUGGCACCAGAUUCAGCAGGAGGAUAUCUAUGAGGCCUUUCAUUCUUGUGGGAUUCCCACACAUCUUGCAAGUUCAAGGGGGUGAGCUCAGCUGAAUGCGCGGCGACGUACUGUACCUUUGCAAGCCGAGUAUCUUGCUCUAAUUUGUUGACAGGGUAAGAGAGGGCUCAAGAAAGAGACAAGAACUUGUGCUUCAAGCAGCGAAUAUAGCCAGCCUAGAUGAUUCAAAACAAGAACAAGUGUCGGGAAGUUACAGAUGAGGAAGUGCAGCUGGUACGGCCUCUCCGUUUUUGCCCCAAAUCAACCACGGAAAAAACUGCUGGACAAUCAACUUCUUGCCAAUUUAUAGUUGACUUCCUGCUAUGAUUCUCUUCCUAAAAGAAAUUGCAAUCAUCUUGAAACAAGUAAUAUAUCUAGCUACAAAUGCUUAUUCUAGA